This 484-nucleotide ribosomal RNA is filed under the name uncultured bacterium. RNAcentral's name for it is "partial 16S ribosomal RNA". It matches the Rfam family "Bacterial small subunit ribosomal RNA", at positions 28 to 523 of the family's 1533-position model. The record is from RNAcentral.
GACGAACGCUGGCGGCGUGCUUAACACAUGCAAGUCGAACGAUGAAGCCGGAGCUUGCUCUGGUGAAUUAGUGGCGAACGGGUGAGUAACACGUGAGUAACCUGCCCUUGACUCUGGGAUAACUGCUAGAAAUGGUAGCUAAUACCGGAUACGACCCUCGGUGGCAUCACCAGGGGGUGGAAAGAAUUUCGGUCAAGGAUGGACUCGCGGCCUAUCAGCUAGUUGGUGAGGUAACGGCUCACCAAGGCGACGACGGGGAGCCGGCCUGAGAGGGUGACCGGCCACACUGGGACUGAGACACGGCCCAGACUCCUACGGGAGGCAGCAGUGGGGAAUAUUGCACAAUGGGCGCAAGCCUGAUGCAGCAACGCCGCGUGAGGGAUGACGGCCUUCGGGUUGUAAACCUCUUUUAGCAGGGAAGAAGCGAAAGUGACGGUACCUGCAGAAAAAGCACCGGCUAACUACGUGCCAGCCGCCGCCGUAA